GACGAACGCUGGCGGCGUGCCUAAUACAUGCAAGUUGAGCGAUGAAGAUUGGUGCUUGCCCCAAUUUGAAGAGCAGCGAACGGGUGAGUAACGCGUGGGGAAUCUGCCUUUGAGCGGGGGACAACAUUUGGAAACGAAUGCUAAUACCGCAUAACAACUUUAAACAUAAGUUUUAAGUUUGAAAGAUGCAAUUGCAUCACUCAAAGAUGAUCCCGCGUUGUAUUAGCUAGUUGGUGAGGUAAAGGCUCACCAAGGCGAUGAUACAUAGCCGACCUGAGAGGGUGGUCGGCCACCAUGGGAAUGGGACAAGGCCCAAACUCCUACGGGGGGGAGCAGGAGGGAAUCUUCGGACAUGGACGGAAGUCUGACCGAACAAAGCCGCGUUGGUGGAGAAGGUUUUCGGAUCGGAAAACUCUGUUUGUAGGGAAGAACGUUGGUGGGAGUGGAAAGCUCAUCAAGUGACGGUAACUACCCAGAAAGGGACGGCUAACUACGUG
Molecule: ribosomal RNA, 497 nt
Filed under: uncultured bacterium
Lineage: Bacteria
Description: partial 16S ribosomal RNA
Rfam family: Bacterial small subunit ribosomal RNA
Source: RNAcentral